This 510-nucleotide ribosomal RNA is filed under the name uncultured bacterium. RNAcentral's name for it is "partial 16S ribosomal RNA". It matches the Rfam family "Bacterial small subunit ribosomal RNA", at positions 28 to 507 of the family's 1533-position model. The record is from RNAcentral.
GACGAACGCUGGCGGCGUGCUUAACACAUGCAAGUCGAACGAAGAGCGAUGGAAGCUUGCUUCUAUCAAUCUUAGUGGCGAACGGGUGAGUAACGCGUAAUCAACCUGCCCUUCAGAGGGGGACAACAGUUGGAAACGACUGCUAAUACCGCAUACGAUCUAAUCUCGGCAUCGAGGAUAGAUUAAAGGUGGCCUCUACAUGUAAGCUAUCACUGAAGGAGGGGAUUGCGUCUGAUUAGCUAGUUGGAGGGGUAACGGCCCACCAAGGCGAUGAUCAGUAGCCGGUCUGAGAGGAUGAACGGCCACAUUGGGACUGAGACACGGCCCAGACUCCUACGGGAGGCAGCAGUGGGGAAUCUUCCGCAAUGGACGAAAGUCUGACGGAGCAACGCCGCGUGAGUGAUGACGGCCUUCGGGUUGUAAAGCUCUGUUAAUCGGGACGAAAGGCCUUCUUGCGAAUAGUGAGAAGGAUUGACGGUACCGGAAUAGAAAGCCACGGCUAACUACGUG